AUUGAACGCUGGCGGCAGGCUUAACACAUGCAAGUCGAGCGAGCGGCGGACGGGUGAGUAAUGUCUGGGAAACUGCCUGAUGGAGGGGGAUAACUACUGGAAACGGUAGCUAAUACCGCAUACCAUCAGAUGUGCCCAGAUGGGAUUAGCUAGUUGGUGGGGUAAAGGCUCACCUAGGCGACGAUCCCUAGCUGGUCUGAGAGGAUGACCAGCCACCCUGGAACUGAGACACGGUCCGAACUCCUACGGGGGGCAGCAGUGGGGAUUGUUGCACAAUGGGCGCAAGCCUGAUGCAGCCAUGCCGCGUGUGUGAAGAAGGCCUUCGGGUUGUAAAGCACUUUCAGCAAGGAGGCGUUACUCGCAGAAGAAGCACCGGCUAACUCCGUGCCAGCAGCCGCGGUAAUUC
RNAcentral lists this ribosomal RNA (406 nucleotides) under uncultured bacterium. RNAcentral's name for it is "partial 16S ribosomal RNA". It matches the Rfam family "Bacterial small subunit ribosomal RNA", at positions 30 to 526 of the family's 1533-position model. The record is from RNAcentral.